Molecule: long non-coding RNA, 12793 nt
Filed under: Triticum aestivum (bread wheat)
Lineage: Eukaryota; Viridiplantae; Streptophyta; Magnoliopsida; Poales; Poaceae
Description: long non-coding RNA (TAES_LNC001416)
Source: RNAcentral
GAUGAUUUUCUACAUGGAGUUCGGCUUCGAGGAGUAGUUAGCAGGUCCCAGGCAGGAGGCCUUGCCUUUUCGAUUUGCAUCCCUGUUUGUGUUAGCCAUCUUAUGGCAACUUGUUUUAACUAAUGUCUGUACUCAGAUAUUGUUGCUUCCGCUGACUCUUGUGUAUUCGAGCCCUCGAGGCCCCUAGGUUUUAAUAUAAAGCUUGUAUUAUUUUAAUUUGUAUCUAGAGUUGUGUUUGAUAUCUUCCUGUGAGUCCUCGAUCUUGAUCGUACACAUUUGCGUGUAUGAUUAGUGUACGGUCAAAUCGGGGGCAUCACAAGUUGGUAUCAGAGCCGACUGCUUGUAGGAAUCCCCCUUCCAAACAACUUGGCCGAAGUUGAGUCUAGUCAUUGCAAAACUUUUACUAACAUUGCUCUGUGGCUUAUGGGCCCAAGUCGCCAUUGGGUGGUAUUAGGAUCUUUUACUCCUCGUCCAUACUCUAGGGCUCUAAUAUCUCUUAUAUUCGGGUUAAAUAAUUUUACUAAAUCUGACUCUAGGUUCUCGUAACUACUUUCUCCAGGAGAGCCGCUUAUCACAGAUGAUGGCCUGCUUCACCAGAAGCUUCCGAAGAUACUCUCCGUUAUUCUCUCAAGACUUUGUGCCCACCACUUUUGCUAUUCCCGACCGCCGACAAAUCCUUAUGGUUAACUGCUUAUAGUUGUCGUUCAUACCAUCGUUCCAGUUGCCCCUGUUAUUAUUUGAUACCCUGAAAAAUUCUCCGAUAUUCCGUGAAUACCUUGUGCCCACUACUUUCGAGCUAUGUUUCGCAUUAAUACCCCUACGGAUAAUUCCUCGCACAUAACGAGUAUCCUCUCAUCACUAGUUGUUCAUGUGUUUCACACGGAUCUUCAAAAAUACUAUUCGAUCUCCCGAAAGUCCUUAGCAGCUUGUUGCUCUUGAAAUUCUUACUUGCUUGCAUUAUGGUUAAUCCCAUAAGUAUAGUAAUCUUAUUGACAACCUUUAUCAUUAACAUUGCGGGUCCGUUGAUUCAAUAUGUUGCGAACGCUUGCAAUCCUCAUCUGAAUCCUUAUAUUCAUCCUUCCAACUCAGACGUCAUUUCAAAAAUGAGCUGGAUCUCGGCCAAUCAAAUUGCCAUCGAUUGUACCCCUAAGGCUAUUCAACUUAUCCAUCCCUAAUCAGAGCAUUGCUUCUGAUCCCUUGAUUUGGAAAUCAUAAUUCCUUUGCAUUUGAGCUUUGAGUUAGUCAGUUGUUUCUAUAAUAUGAUCUCCUUGCAUUCUUUAUUCCUUUGGUUGAGUACCGAUGCUCACAUCACAUCCCUUGUGGACCACCACAUCCUUUGUUGGAUUUUAUCCGAUAGCGUCCUUAAUAUUCUAUAAGCUUGUGAGACUUUCCUCGGAUACAUAAUACCUUUGGUAAAUUGUAUCCUCUACAUUCUCAAGCAUGCUCUACUAUCGAGCUUGUGUUAUUUAUUCCUGAAAUUUGUGGUAUAUGCUCCUAAGAAGCCCCGAUGGGUUGAACCUAUGCGUUCCCCAAACCGUAUGAACCCAAAAGUUUUCGCGAGUCCUACACUUCUGUUAGUUCGCCAGAUAAAAUUUCUAAACUACAACUUCAUCAAAAGCGAGAAGUAAAAUGAAAGGUUAUGUAUUGAAGAAGUGGGAGGCAACCUUGAGCCUCUGCGUUCAUGCCCAUGGACUCGAUGUGGAACUUUUCAUCGAAGAUUCUUGUAAAUGAUAAUAAUCCCCUUGUUAUAAGUUCGUCCUGUAUCUAUUUUUGGCCCUUUGCAAUUGUGGUCCCGACCAUAUUUUCUCCUUAAUACCAUUUCUUGGACAAGUUGAAGUACUUGUCUUCUACAGAUCAUUGCACCUGUCCAACCUUUACUUUGAUCUACCGUCGAGUAUUACACUAUGAUAUCAUGAGAAUAUCAUGGAACUGCAUAACUUCUUAUGGGUUCUUCAUCAACUAUUUUUUCUCACGGAUUCCAAUUUUUCGGGGUUCUGGGUUGUCGGCAACCGAGAACACCGAUAUGUUAACCGAUUCCUCAUUCCGAUUUGAUAACCCUAUGUAAUUUUCAUUGCUUAUGAGUUUAAUAAUCUUUCAAGUCAUUCCUAGUCCGAUCAGCUAUACCAUUUAUCAUGCUGAUUUUAACUGUGCUGCCUGGUCCUUAUUUUUGGAGCACCUCAUUCGGCGAUGAGCUAAGCUUACGCCGAUCUUCCUUGUCUUAUCGUUUCACCUCGAACAACAAGCUUGAUUCCAAGUUGGUGUCGUAUCCGUGGUUCCAAUAAUCUUUCGCUACAUUAGUCCUGUUGCUUGAUGUAGCCGCUGUUCAAUUGCUUCUUCAUGGAGCCUCUCGACAAAAUUUGUCAUGAUCAUCAGCAGCAUUCUGAGCUCUUCCAGGAUAUCAAUUGAGUUAAUGAUGAGAAAUAACAUCCUUGCCCUAGAUGAUUUGUGUUAUCAUCGACCACUUUAUUGCCUUUCAUUCAACACAAACUUGUUCGUGUUUUGUAUUAUACCUUGAGAUCCUUACUAUCCAGCAUUGUUUCUUCUUUAUCUUGGAGUAUUACCAUCUUUUAUGCCAAGAAGGUCAUGAGAAUUUCACCACAUCAUAAGAAUUCUUGAUACAAGUGAUACUUCUUGCCAUAUCCGUUCAUUCCUUGAUCCCCGUGUUGUUUCUAACCAAAAAACAGACAGUUGAACUAUGAUGUGCGAUUCAAAACUUCUAGUAAUCCUAUUACUGUAAAGUUAAUGGUCGAUAUUUCAUUCUUAGACCAUUGGUUAUCGAAUCACCAUUCUAACAUUGAUCAAGCUACCUAAGCCCAUAUUUCAGGUGCGCCUUUCAACCAUUGUUUCAUUGUGUAUGCUUUCCUCGAGCAUACACCAUUAUAUCAUUUGAUCUAACAAUUGUUAUCUCCUUGUUCACAUAAUUGUGGAAAUCCAUCUUUUGGAAAUCUUGGUGAGUUGACACUGAGUUCUGCUACCUCCUCAUCCUCUCCUUGGUUUAAUGAUGAACUCUUCUUUCGGAACUCGCUUCCAUAGUUCUUUUCCCAAGAAUCUUACAAUGUCAUCUCGUCAAAUUGUGUUCCACCUUUUCUUCUCACACAUCCCGAGUCUAAGGUAUCCUUGCACUAAUCAGAUCUGAAUCUCAAUCAGAUAUGAUGGUUGGGACAUAUUUCCAAGAGCUAUAACGUUGGUAUUUAUAUGUCACGGCAAGGUGAUGUCAUGCCUAGCACACCUGGCCGGAGGACCUAUUCUUAUAGUUCCCUUAUUAACAAGGUUAGCGAUUCUUCCGUGAGGAAAUCGUAAGACUUAUUCUAUAAGUUGUUCCCGAUGGAUCCUUUCUGUGUCCAAAGUCUGAUCUUUACCCAGUGACCAUGUCAAUGCUAUCUCGAAGCAUGUCUGUGCUACUCCAAUAUUCAAUGAGAUCAAUUGAAUGACAAUGCUAUAUUUUCUUUAUCAAUUAUCCUAACACCGUUGUUGGGUAAUGUCAUGAAAUUCCUCUCCCUUUACCUAAGUGAUUUUCUACUUCUAUCCUGUCAUGGAUGUCAUGCUCUGUUUGUCCUUGGGAAGGAUAUACCCCUAAAAUAUGUGUUUAAAAUCAUUUUCCUUUCCAUUGUUCUGUUUAAUUCCAUAUUCAUCUUAUCCUUUCCAUUGUUUGGUUUGGCCUUUCUUGAGAUCUAUAUCAUCUAAGCAGUAAUAUUCUCCUGCUUAUGUAAACACCUCGGUAUACAAUUCUGUCAAGCAAGACCUUGUUACUAUUGUUGAUGACAUUCCGGUAGCCACCGAUGGACGAGAACUUUGCCUAAUGGUCUGCCUGGUUCAACGAGCAGGAAAAUGGUUCUCUUCGUCCCUCGCCCUUGGUACCGACAUUGUUGCCAACAUAACUGAUAGGAUACCCUCUGACAUGUCUUGCUAUCAUGACCGUGCAAGAUGUCAACACCCUUCCUACUUUUAACUAGAUGGUGGCCCAUAACCCAUAGUUCCAUACGAUCAAAACCUGACUCUCCUGUACAACCAUAUUGCCAAAGUUAUUCCUCGCGCUUGUUUUUGUAUGUAAUUCAUGAGUCAUCUUCCUAGAAAUCUACUUGGUAUCAGAUGCAAUACUUAUUAUCGUUGCUCUGGACCCCUCUCCCACUUUGUUCACGCAUCGAACAAUUUCCUACCCACUUAACCUUCUCAUGGUAACUUCUUAAUUUGCUCCCGAAAUUUUCUUAAAUUUUAGUUCGAGAGUUACUUUCCGCCACCUUCCCCGAUGUUAGCUACCAGGUAGUCAACCUUGCAGAGGUCCGUUCUUCUGGGAAUAACCACCCUUUAUUCUUUCGUAACUACGAUGGAGUUCCCGAAGAAAGGAUGUCGACUUCAUCAUGAUGACCUGAAGCAGAGAAAUAAAGACAUCAACGCAGAGGAUCAACUACUUUAGGAAGAGCAACCAAGACCAACAACACUUGUUAGAAUUCAUAACCGAUUCUAUCCCCUUAACUCUACCUCUUAAAUCUCGGGACGAGAUUUCUUGUAGUGGAGGAGAUUUGUGUGCAACACCCCGUAUGUAACUUGCCAUAUUUGUAUUCCAAAUCUUGCCAUUUUCGGCUCUAAGUUAUGAGAUUCGUGGUUGCGUUCUUUUCUUUGUUUUGCAUUUUGCUCAUGUCAUGCAUUUCAUAUCAUGUCAUCAUGUGCAUCGCAUGGGCAUACGUGUUUGUCUCAUGCAUCCUAGCAUUUUCCCCGUUGUCUAUUUUGCAAUCCGACACUCCUACGUCCUCCUGCACCCCCUUUUGCCUCUUUUCGGGUGCGGGUGUUAAACGUCCUCGGAUUGGACCGAGAUUUUCCAAGCGGCCUUGGUACACCACCGGUAGAGCGCCUACCUUGUUUCGUGCCAUUUGAAGUCCGUUUGAUACCCCAACAGCUAACCGGGGAACCGUAAAGGCCUCGUAUGUGUUGCAGCCCAACACCCCUCCAAAGUGGCCCAGUAACCCAUCCAAACCUAUCCCAUGUCCUCCUCCAUCGGAUCAUGAUCGCAUGGUCGAAAACCGCACUCCAUUUGGACACUCCCACCUCCUUCUAUGUAUAAAUAGGUGCCCCUCCUCCAAAUUCGCGGUCAAAACCCUAAAAAAACCUUCCCCGGCGCCGCCCGGACCAACCGCCGGCCGCCACGUGUUGCCGUCGCUUCCACCCACUGCGCGGCCCGCCGAGGCCCGUCGCCGGCCCCCACAGGCUCGAGCCACCAGCGCGCCGCCUGUCUCUCUNNNNNNNNNNNNNNNNNNNNNNNNNNNNNNNNNNNNNNNNNNNNNNNNNNNNNNNNNNNNNNNNNNNNNNNNNNNNNNNNNNNNNNNNNNNNNNNNNNNNNNNNNNNNNNNNNNNNNNNNNNNNNNNNNNNNNNNNNNNNNNNNNNNNNNNNNNNNNNNNNNNNNNNNNNNNNNNNNNNNNNNNNNNNNNNNNNNNNNNNNNNNNNNNNNNNNNNNNNNNNNNNNNNNNNNNNNNNNNNNNNNNNNNNNNNNNNNNNNNNNNNNNNNNNNNNNNNCCGGUGCGCCGCCGCGUGCCUCCGACGCCGCGGGUCGCCACCACCUUCGCACGCGCCGCCCACCGCCCGCGACUCCCCGUUGUCGCCUGGCCUCGGAUCUGGCCCCGCCGGACCGGAUCCGGCCGUCCCCGUCUACUCCGGCCGCCGUCCCCUCCAUCUCCGGCGAGGUUCAGGUGAACCUCGGUUCGUGCGCCGCCCAGAUCCAGAUCUGGAAACCGAGGUUGACCCCGAUUUUCGCCUUCAUCUGCUAUAUUUUCAAGCACUAUUCAACAUGCCAUAAGUCCUCAUCCGUAGCUCCGUUUUGUACGUGCCAUAUAUCAAAAUGUUCAUCAUGAUGUGCUAUUCACUUUGUUCCAUUGUGCCAUGCUUGUUUGAGUACAGCUUGGUGCCCAAAUAGUUGAUGCGAGAGUGCUAUAAAAUGUUAGGUGCUGAUUCUUAUCAGAUUAUGAGCAUUUGUCAUUUUUGCCAUAAUAGAUGUGUGCUGCAUAUGGACUUGAGCUCUACAUGUGUUUUCGGCUAUGACAUGCCAUCUUUACAGGGGUGUAUGCCAUGUAUUGUUGUGAUCAAUGUGGUGACUAGCACAAGCAUGCAAAGUAGCUCUUGUAAUAUUGCUGAUUUUAGGGACUUAGAAUUUCACUAAGUCAUUUCCCUGCUGUUAUUUUUAUACCAUGUAUUCAUGUUGCUACAGUGAGAUCCAUGCUUCUUUUGGGAAUGUUCAGCAAGGAUGAUUUGGGCAUAUGGUUAUGCUAUAUCCAUCUAUGCCCCUGUGUGCAUUUAUGGAGUACACUAGCAUGUAUUAAUAUUGCUCUACUUUUGUUAUAAAAUAUUCCUGGCAGAUUGUUUACGUGUUAAUCAAUUUUGCCAAGGUUGUUGUAGUUGAUCCAUGCAUGCUAUGAGCUGGUUCUUGCUUUGGUUAGCUUCAUUAUCAUGUCUUCUUGCUGAUUCUAUGCUUAUAUUGUCAUGCAAUGCCUUGUGUUGAGUGAAUCGAGCUCGCAAAGAGGCCUUCAUAACUCUGUUUAUGCCAUGCUCAUAAGUCUGAAUUUGUUAACGAAACUUGCUAUGUUUACAUGGGUGCCAUCAUAUCUUCUGUGCCUUUUUGUCUUAUGGUCAGUAAGGGACUUUUGUUCCAUGCUUUGAGUAGAUUCAUGCCAUGCCUUUGUUUGCUAUGUUCUGUUCCUAUAGCAUGUUGUUAUCUUGAUCCAAACAUUGCUUCCUGGUGUUAAUUCCUGACAUGUUAGUAUUUUCACAAAGUCUGUGAUGCUGACAUCUUUUGCACUUUUGCCAUACUUGAUUGAACCUACUCUUGUGUGAUUUAGCCGUAGCUCAGUGUUCAUCUUUUGUCAAGCAUGUUGAGUAGAUCACUGCCAUUUUCUUUGUUGCUACAUUGGGGUGCAGUAACUUAGUUUCUUGUUGCAUUCUAGAUGGCAUCCUGCUGUUAAUCACAUAAUUCUGCCAUUAUUGUUUUGCUUGCCAUUUGCAAAUCAUGCAUCCGAUUCCGGUGAUCUUUAUAUCGAUUUCGACCGAAAUCAACUCAUCUUUCUAGUGGCACACUUGGUUUUCCAAGUUGAGGACUGGUUCAUUCUUUUCCUUCCGGAGCACAGAUAUGCAUUGCAUAUCACAUCCCGCAUGUCAUGCCAUGUUUUGCAUCAUGUUGCUUGCGCAUUGCACCAUGAUUGAUUGUUGGUCCUUUGCUUGUGUUUUUGAUUUGGAUAGAGCCGAGAAAUGAUUACGUGAUCGAGGAACCCAUUGAGUACGCUUACAAGGAUCAAGAUUUCGUCAACUCGGAGAACUUUGCAGGCAACAUGACCAUACCCUUGAAAUCACUUCUAUCUUUGCUUGCUAGUUGUUCGUUCUUUUGCUAUGCCGCGAUACCUACCACAUGCUAUAUCAUGCCUCCCAUAUUGCCAAGUAAAUACUCUAACCCACCUUUCCUAACAAACCAUUGUUUGUGUAUGUUACCGCUUUGCUCAGCCUCUUGUAUAGCGUUGCUAGUUGCAGGUGAAGAUGGAGUUUGUUCCUUGUUGGAACAUGAUUAUUGUUGGGAUAUCAUUAUUAUAUCUUGUUUACUUUAAUGCAUCUAUAUACUUCGUAAAGGGUGGAAGGCUCGGCCUUAUGCCUGGUGUUUUGUUCCACUCUUGCCGCCCUAGUUUUUGUCAUACCGGUGUUAUGUUCCUUGAUUUUGCAUUCCUUAUGCGGUUGGGUUAUAAUGGGAACCCCUUGACAGUUCGCCUUGAAUAAAACUCGUCCAGCAAGGCCCAACCUUGGUUUUACCAUUUGCCACCUAAGCCUUUUUCCCUUGGGUUCCGUGGAGUGUUGGUCCAAACUAAAGACCUUUGCAGCGCCACCUCGGGGAAACUCGAGGUUGGUUUUAGUUGUACGGAGCGCUCAUCCGGUGUGCCCUGAGAACGAGAUACGUGUGACUCCUAUUGGGAUUUGUCGGCACAUCGGGCGGCUUUGCUGGUCUUGUUUUACAAUUGUCAAAAUGUCUUGUAACCGGGAUUCCGAGUCUGAUCGGGUCGUCCUGGGAGAAGGAAUAUCCUUCGUUGACCGUGAGAGCUUGUGAUGGGCUAAGUUGGGACAUCCCUGCAUGGUUCUGAACUUUCGAUUAUGGGCAGAUGGGAAUUUGUUAAUAUCCAGUUGUAGAAAACCUGAAACUUAACUUAAUUAAAAUGAAUCAACCGCGUGUGUAACCGUGAUGGUCUAUUUUCGGCGGAGCCCGGGAAGAGAACACGGUCUCGUGUUAUGCUUGAACGUAAGUAGUUUCAGGAUCACUUCUUGAUCUUUAUAGCUUCUCGACCGAGUUUUGCUUCUCUUCUCGCUCUCUUUUGCGUAAGUUAGCCACCAUGUAUGCUAGUGCUUGCUGCAGAUCCACCUCACUACCUUUUUCUACCCAUAAGCUUAAAUAGUCUUGAUCACGAGGGUGUGACAUUGCUGAGUCUCGUGACUCACAGAUUACUUCCAAAACCAGAUGCAGGUGCCAAUGAUGCCAGUGUAGGGGACGCUACCGAACUCAAGUGGGAGUUCGACGAGGAUUCAAGACGUUACUUUGUGUCUUUUUCGGACGAUCAGUAGAGGAGCCCAGUUGGGGCGAUCGAGGAUCUAUGCAUUUCGGGUUGUCUUUAUUUAUGUUGCUUCCGUAGUCGGACAUUGAUUGUAUUCUGGAUGAUGUAAUGCUAUAUUUAUGUAUUGUGUGAAGUGGCGAUUGUAAGCCAACUCUUUAUCCCUUUCUUAUUUAGUACAUGGGAUGUGUAAAUAUUACCCCUCUUGCGACAUGCCUACUAUGCGGUUAUGCCUCUAAGUCGUGCUCCGACACGUGGGGGAUAUAGCUGCAUCGUGGGUGUUACAUUGUGACACCCUGAUAGUUAAGCUACAAUAAACGCUUGCUAAUCAUGCCAGUUCAUCAUAAUUAAACUUUUUCUAAACCUCACUUGUUUCAAACUGAGAUCAAAUUCAAAUUCAAAUAACAAGUCAAAUUAUAAUUUCAUAAAAACAGUGGAUUAAAUAAAAUGUUCGACGGGUUGUAAGUAUUCACUAACAAAUUAACAAACAUCAAACAACAUUUCGGUAAUGUUCAUAUGCCUCUAAGAUAAUUAAAAUAGGAACAAAAACACUUAAAUCAACCUUUUAAAAGUAAACAAAUAUUAAUCCUUAUCAAAAUGACUUGAAACGUUGUGUGCAACUCAAUUAUAUGACCCAUUAUUUAUGUGCCAAGUUUCAUGUUCACCAAAAUUCAUUCUCUACAUAAACUAAAUGCAAAACAGAGGAAAAAUAAUUAAACAAAAAAAGUAAAAGACCUCAACUACUAGUGGACUGGGCUCUAGGUCAGCAGUGGGAGCCCAACCCACCUCGCCACCUCCUCCUUCCAACUACUCAAGAGGAGCACCGUGGACGCGCGAGCCCCGUCCAUGGACGCAGAUGGCCACAGGGCAUCCAUCCCGUGGCGACCCGAUGCAAAUAAGGUCUCCCCCGAGCCCCAAACGAACCCUAGCUGCCCCAGAUCUCACCUCCCCUUCCCCAUCGCUCUCUCCCUCGCUCUCCCCUCUCUCCUGAGCACCACAAUUGGCGAUCCCCGCUGAAGCUCAUGGCCACUAUCGUCCCCAUGCCCCCCGUCGUGCCCAGCUGCUCCGCCAGGCGCUCCCUCGUCAACCAUACCUCCAGAACGAGGCGGGGAUACCUCGUCGUCGUGGCCAUCAACCUCUUCUUCCCGGUGUCGCUCGUCGUUGUCGGCAUCGAUCCACGGAUGUCGCUGCAUCGCCGGCCUGUCCCAGCUCAUCCUCCGCCUCACUGUGAGCUCCGCCACUCCCCUGGUUAUUCCCGAGCUCGGUUUCAAGCUCGCGCGUGCUCACCUCCUUGUCCGAAGCCAUCGCCGCCCGCGCCUCCGGAUCCAGCCGCUAUCGCGCCCCUGGCCGCUACCUCCUCGCCUCGCAGCUCGCCUCGCCCCGCUCCCAAUCAUUGCAUGUUCGUCGCCCGCUGUCGUGCCUCACCUAGCCAUGCCCCCGCCGUCCGCGUGCCUCCACCGCACCGAUCGCACCUCAUGUCGGCCUCGCCCGUUGCUCCCCUGUGGCCCGAGCCGUUGCUGCUGGCCUCGACGCGACAGGCCGCACCCGUCUCCGGUUGUCGCUCCGAUGCUGCUCUGCUGCGCCGGACCACCCGCUCGCGCCCCACUCCCCCUGGCACCGUUGCUCCUCUCCUGCGCCCCGCCGUGGCCCCCUGCUCGCCUGCAGCCCGCUCGCCCCACUCCGGCCAUCGCCGAGCGCGCCCGCAGGUGCCUCCCCCUCUCGCGCCUGCCAUUGCUGGCACGUCCCGCUGUAGCCAGCCGCACCGACCACCCCCGCCACUACUGCCCCACGUCGCUCCUCCCCCACUUGGCCUCGCUCGCUGGUCGACGGCCCCCAGCCACUCACGGCCCCUGGUACCUUCUCCGCGGCCGGCGCGCUCCCUUGUCUGGCGCCUGGUUGCGUUCGGCCACGCCCAGGCACCCGCACCCGUGUGCCCGCCCCGAUAUGCCCCCUGGGCCUAUGACACGGGGCCCCCAUGCUCCUUCAAAAAAAAGAAAUUAAAAAAAUAAUUAAAUAAUUAGAUAAUUAAUUAACUUAGUUAAAUCUGUUAAUUUAACCCAAUGACUUAAUUAAACUAACUAAUCCUAUUUAGUUAGCUGAGUCAAUGACAUACCGGCCCAUCUGUCAAUUUGACUGGUCAAGGUUCAAAGUUGACCGCUGAUGUCAUACUGAUGUCAUGCUGAUACAAUAAUACUAUUUUUGAAUUAAAUUAAAAUUAAUAAUUUAAAAAUUUAUUAAAUCUUUAAAAAAUAAUAUAAAAUAAACCGUAGCUCAGUUGGGAAAACUUUGUAUAUGAAAGUUGCUCAGAAGGACGAGACGAGGAAUACGCAGCCCGUUCGUCCGGCACACAUCCCUAGCAUAGCGAACACGCAAUUUUCGCCCUUCGGUUCGACUAUCUGAAAAUGCCAAACACUGGGAAUACUUUCUCGGAUGUUUUCCCCCAUCGCCGAUAUCACCUUGUGUUAGCUCACCCCUGACACCGCGUAUUGCCAUGUUAUGCUUUGUGAUUCUUUGAUUGCUCCGUUAUUUAUUGUGUUCCCCCUUCGUUACUUCUUUCCUUUAGACCCCGAGACUUCUGGCGACCCACAGUUCGACUACGGUGUUGACGACCAUUCCUUCUUGCAGAGCAACUAGGCAAGCCCCCCCCCCUUGAUCACCAGAUAUCGCCUAUUCCUUUUAUCUACUUCUUGCAUUAGAGUACAGUAGCAUGUUACUGUUUUGGGUUAAUCCUAUUCUGUUGCAUAGCAUGUCUUUGUUGCUAAAGUUGUCACCCUUACCAACUAUCCUAAAUGCUCAGUAUAGGAUGCUAGUAUUCCAUUAGUGGCCCUACAUUCUUGUCCGUCUGCCAUGCUAUACUAUCGGGUUGUAACCACUUGGGAGGUGAUCAAGGGUAUACACUUAUAUACAUCAUAUGUGAUACUUGUGGUGACUAAAGUCGGGUUGGCUCGUAGAGUACCCGCAAGUGAUUCCGAUGUGGGGGCUGAAGGGGCAGGUGGUUCCAUCCAGGUAGUGGUGGGCCUGGGUUCCCGAUGGCCCCCGACUGUUACUUUGUGGCGGAGCGACAUGGCAGGUUGAGACCACCUAGGUGAGAGGUGGGCCUGGCCCUGGUCGGUGUCCGCAAUUGCUUCAAAAUAAAACGCAUAACGAGAUCUUGGUAUUUGAUCUGAUUCUGGCCACUGGCCUAUAAGCACUAGCCUUCUUGACGUCAAAGAUUGAGUGGCACGCACCGGGUUGGACGGGAACACCUGCUCUUGUAUGAGGGAGGCUAGGUCUGCUUACCGGCCGCGUUCGCAACAUGCAGGCGUGCAAUGGGUGAUGGGCACAGACCCCUGCGCAUAGGAUUUAGACCGGUGUGCUGACCUCUCUGUUGUGCCUAGGUGGGGCUGUGACGUGUUGAUCUUCUGAGGCUGGGCAUGACCCAGGAAAGUGUGUCCGGCCAAAGGGGAUCGAGCGUGUUGGGAAAUGUGGUGCACCCCUGCAGGGAAGUUUAUCUAUUCUAAUAGCCAUGUCCCUCGGUAAAAGGACGACCUGGAGUUGUACCUUAUCCUUAUGACAACUAGAACCGGAUACUUAAUAAUACACACCCUUUCAAGUGCCAGAUACAACCCGGUAAUCGCUCUCUAACAGGGCGACAAGGAGAGGAUCGCCGGAUAGGUUUAUGCUAUACGAUGAUACUUGGUUAACUUACCAUCUACUCUCUUCUGCUGCUUCAAGAUGGAGGCUGCCAGAAGCAUAGUGUUUGAUAGGACUAGAUAUCCCCCUCUUAUUCUGGCAUUCUGCAGUUCAGUCCACAGAUACUAUCCAUUUCAUUGAUACCAAUGCAUAUGUAGUGUAGAUCCUUGCUUGCGUGUACCUUGGAUGAGUACUCACGGUUGCUUUGUAUUUUCUUUUUCCCCUUUCCCAGUUAUUGCAAUCAUAUGGUGCAGUCCAGGAGCUAGUGAAUCCCGAGGAUGAUUUUCUACAUGGAGUUCUGCUUCGAGGAGUAGUUAGGAGGUCCCAGGCAGGAGGCCUUACCUUUUCGAUCUAUAUCCCUAUUUUUGCUAGCCAUCUUAUGGCAACUUGUUUUAUCUUAUGUCCGUACUUAGAUAUUGUUUCUUCCCCUGACUCUUGUCUAUUCGAGCUUAUGUAUUCGAGCCCUCGAGGUCCCUGUCUUGUAAUAUAAAGCUUGUAUUAUUUUAAUUUAUGUCUAUAGUUGUGUUGUGAUAUCUUCUCGUGAGUCCUUGAU